Molecule: ribosomal RNA, 497 nt
Filed under: uncultured bacterium
Lineage: Bacteria
Description: partial 16S ribosomal RNA
Rfam family: Bacterial small subunit ribosomal RNA
Source: RNAcentral
GAUGAACGCUGGCGGCGUGCCUAAUACAUGCAAGUCGAGCGAACGGACGAGGAGCUUGCUCCUCUGACGUUAGCGGCGGACGGGUGAGUAACACGUGGAUAACCUACCUAUAAGACUGGGAUAACUUCGGGAAACCGGAGCUAAUACCGGAUAAUAUAUUGAACCGCAUGGUUCAAUAGUGAAAGACGGUUUUGCUGUCACUUAUAGAUGGAUCCGCGCCGCAUUAGCUAGUUGGUAAGGUAACAGCUUACCAAGGCAACGAUGCGUAGCCGACCUGAGAGGGUGAUCGGCCACACUGGAACUGAGACACGGUCCAGACUCCUACGGGAGGCAGCAGUAGGGAAUCUUCCGCAAUGGGCGAAAGCCUGACGGAGCAACGCCGCGUGAGUGAUGAAGGUCUUCGGAUCGUAAAACUCUGUUAUUAGGGAAGAACAAAUGUGUAAGUAACUAUGCACGUCUUGACGGUACCUAAUCAGAAAGCCACGGCUAACUACGUG